GGGGUACUGUGGGAUUAUGAAGAUAAAUCUGUAAGUGGUCCGAUAAAACCUGAAAUUUCUAAGUGCAGAAAUGCUGAUGUUGGUUCAGAGUGUGGGAAGGAAAACCAGCCAAAUUCGAGUCAAGUAACUUAUUGUGGUUUAGAAAAAGCUUGCAAUCCAGGAGUUGUCAGGGAUCAAUCUUCUAAUUGUGAAAUUGUGGAGGAAUAUGAUGAUGUUAAGAGCAACCAACAGCAAUCAUCUAACUGUAAAAGGCCUAGCAUCUCAGGCUCCGCUUCUGCUUCUAUUCCAACUGCCAACUUGACUGGCCGAGGAAGGAAAAGUAUGCGGUUGUAUGAGCUGCUACAAAUGGAAUCAUGCAAUGACUUAGGUUUUAUUUCAAUGUCACUGGUUGAAAGUAAAAGGAGGAAUGCGUGGAGUUGUCAGCCAAGUUCAGAUCCUUUGGAUUCCAGACUGACUUUACUUGAACAGCAAAGAUCUUGUACAUUGAACAA
RNAcentral lists this unclassified non-coding RNA (491 nucleotides) under Hevea brasiliensis (rubber tree). The record is from RNAcentral. Lineage: Eukaryota; Viridiplantae; Streptophyta; Magnoliopsida; Malpighiales; Euphorbiaceae.